GCCUCUGUGGCGGAACUGGUAGACGCGAUAGACUCAAAAUCUGUUGUUCGAAAGGACGUGCUGGUUCGAUUCCGGCCAGGGGCACCA
RNAcentral lists this transfer RNA (87 nucleotides) under Alphaproteobacteria bacterium. Its description in RNAcentral is "tRNA-Leu". It matches the Rfam family "tRNA". Rfam says of the family: Transfer RNA (tRNA) molecules are approximately 80 nucleotides in length. Their secondary structure includes four short double-helical elements and three loops (D, anti-codon, and T loops). The record is from RNAcentral. Lineage: Bacteria; Pseudomonadati; Pseudomonadota; Alphaproteobacteria.